This 464-nucleotide ribosomal RNA is filed under the name Acidovorax sp. Its description in RNAcentral is "bacterial SSU rRNA". It matches the Rfam family "Bacterial small subunit ribosomal RNA", at positions 398 to 855 of the family's 1533-position model. Lineage: Bacteria; Pseudomonadati; Pseudomonadota; Betaproteobacteria; Burkholderiales; Comamonadaceae. The record is from RNAcentral.
CGCGUGCAGGAUGAAGGCCUUCGGGUUGUAAACUGCUUUUGUACGGAACGAAAAGACUCUUUCUAAUAAAGAGGGUCCAUGACGGUACCGUAAGAAUAAGCACCGGCUAACUACGUGCCAGCAGCCGCGGUAAUACGUAGGGUGCGAGCGUUAAUCGGAAUUACUGGGCGUAAAGCGUGCGCAGGCGGUUAUGCAAGACAGAUGUGAAAUCCCCGGGCUCAACCUGGGAACUGCAUUUGUGACUGCAUAGCUAGAGUACGGUAGAGGGGGAUGGAAUUCCGCGUGUAGCAGUGAAAUGCGUAGAUAUGCGGAGGAACACCGAUGGCGAAGGCAAUCCCCUGGACCUGUACUGACGCUCAUGCACGAAAGCGUGGGGAGCAAACAGGAUUAGAUACCCUGGUAGUCCACGCCCUAAACGAUGUCAACUGGUUGUUGGGUCUUCACUGACUCAGUAACGAAGCUAA